ACAGUAUAAAGUUGGUGGACGGAAACCAUUCCACAUACUGUGGUUCUCUGCGACUGUAGGAUCUGCCAAUACGAUUUACCGCUCUCUAGGCCAUCUUGAUUUGCUAAGAUAUCGAAGAUCAUCAUGAAGUUGGCAUUUUGUCUUUUUGCUCUGAUAUUUUUCGUGGCCCUUAUGCCACAGGAUGGAGAAAGUUGGCGACUUCGAAGAGUCUGGAGAAGGGCCGUUAGAGUAGUGAGGAGGGUGGUUAGAGUUGUCAAAACUUACAAGGCAAUUAAAGCUGCGGUCGCAGUAGCCGGAGACGAAAACAACUCCAAGUUUAUGUUAAAUGAUUUGGAUGGCGACGGCAAGAUAUCACUGCACGACGUGAAGGAUCCCGAAGCGAUGGAGGAACUCGACGCUAACGGUAAAGUAGU
Molecule: long non-coding RNA, 413 nt
Organism: Lingula anatina
Lineage: Eukaryota; Metazoa; Brachiopoda; Lingulata; Lingulida; Lingulidae
Source: RefSeq, a predicted model, not a curated record